GCGCCUGUAGCUCAGUUGGAAAGAGCAUCGGCCUUCUAAGCCGAGGGUCACUGGUUCGAAUCCAGUCAGGCGCA
This 74-nucleotide transfer RNA is filed under the name Candidatus Omnitrophota bacterium. RNAcentral's name for it is "Candidatus Omnitrophica bacterium (groundwater metagenome) tRNA-Arg". It matches the Rfam family "tRNA". From Rfam's summary of the family: Transfer RNA (tRNA) molecules are approximately 80 nucleotides in length. The record is from RNAcentral. Lineage: Bacteria; Pseudomonadati; Candidatus Omnitrophota.